This 353-nucleotide unclassified non-coding RNA is filed under the name soil metagenome. Its description in RNAcentral is "partial contains 5.8S ribosomal RNA, internal transcribed spacer 2, and large subunit ribosomal RNA". The stretch from base 1 to 120 matches the Rfam family "5.8S ribosomal RNA", at positions 35 to 154 of the family's 154-position model. The record is from RNAcentral.
GAUGAAGAACGCAGCGAAAUGCGAUAAGUAAUGUGAAUUGCAGAAUUCAGUGAAUCAUCGAAUCUUUGAACGCACAUUGCGCCCGCUAGUAUUCUGGCGGGCAUGCCUGUUCGAGCGUCAUUUCAACCCUCAGGCCCCCAGUGCCUGGCGUUGGGGAUCGGCGGAAGCCCCCUGUGGGCACACGCCGUCCCUCAAAUACAGUGGCGGUCCCGCCGCAGCUUCCAUUGCGUAGUAGCUAACACCUCGCAACUGGAGAGCGGCGCGGCCAUGCCGUAAAACACCCAACUUCUGAAUGUUGACCUCGAAUCAGGUAGGAAUACCCGCUGAACUUAAGCAUAUCAAUAAGCGGAGGA